UACGGAGGGAGCUAGCGUUGUUCGGAAUUACUGGGCGUAAAGCGCACGUAGGCGGCCGUUCAAGUCGGAGGUGAAAGCCCGGGGCUCAACCCCGGAAUAGCCUUUGAAACUAGAUGGCUUGAAUCUUGGAGAGGUCAGUGGAAUUCCGAGUGUAGAGGUGAAAUUCGUAGAUAUUCGGUAGAACACCAGUGGCGAAGGCGACUGACUGGACAAGUAUUGACGAUGAGGUGCGAAAGCGUGGGGAGCAAACAGG
RNAcentral lists this ribosomal RNA (253 nucleotides) under uncultured bacterium. Its description in RNAcentral is "partial 16S ribosomal RNA". It matches the Rfam family "Bacterial small subunit ribosomal RNA", at positions 524 to 776 of the family's 1533-position model. The record is from RNAcentral.